UUGACACAAAACUAGACACUACAGACAU
RNAcentral lists this non-coding RNA (28 nucleotides) under Mus musculus (house mouse). The record is from RNAcentral. Lineage: Eukaryota; Metazoa; Chordata; Mammalia; Rodentia; Muridae.